AACGCUAGCUACAGGCUUAACACAUGCAAAUCGAGGGGAAACGACAUCGAAAGCUUGCUUUUGAUGGGCGUCGACCGGCGCACGGGUGAGUAACGCGUAUCCAACCUGCCCACCACUUGGGGAUAACCUUGCGAAAGUAAGACUAAUACCCAAUGACGUCUCUAGAAGACAUCUGAAAGGGAUUAAAGAUUUAUCGGUGAUGGAUGGGGAUGCGUCUGAUUAGCUUGUUGGUGGGGUAACGGCCCACCAAGGCAACGAUCAGUAGGGGUUCUGAGAGGAAGGUCCCCCACAUUGGAACUGAGACACGGUCCAAACUCCUACGGGAGGCAGCAGUGAGGAAUAUUGGUCAAUGGACGAGAGUCUGAACCAGCCAAGUAGCGUGCAGGAUGACGGCUCUAUGGGUUGUAAACUGCUUUUAUAAGGGAAUAAAGUGAGAGUCGUGACUCUUUUUGCAUGUACCUUAUGAAUAAGGACCGGCUAAUUCCGUGCCAGCAGCCGCGGUAAUACGGAAGGUCCGGGCGUUAUCCGGAUUUAUUGGGUUUAAAGGGGGCGUAGGCCGGAGAUUAAGCGUAUUGUGAAAUGUAGACGCUCAACGUCUGCACUGCAGCGCGAACUGGUUUCCUUGAGUACGCACAAAGUGGGCGGAAUUCGUGGUGUAGCGGUGAAAUGCUUAGAUAUCACGAAGAACUCCGAUUG
Molecule: ribosomal RNA, 696 nt
Filed under: uncultured bacterium
Lineage: Bacteria
Description: bacterial SSU rRNA
Rfam family: Bacterial small subunit ribosomal RNA
Source: RNAcentral